AGUGAACGCUGGCGGUAGGCCUAACACAUGCCAGUCGAACGGCAGCACAGUAAGAGCUUGCUCUUACGGGUGGCGAGUGGCGGACGGGUGAGGAAUACAUCGGAAUCUACUUUUUCGUGGGGGAUAACGUAGGGAAACUUACGCUAAUACCGCAUACGACCUACGGGUGAAAGCAGGGGAUCUUCGGACCUUGCGCGAUUGAAUGAGCCGAUGUCGGAUUAGCUAGUUGGCGGGGUAAAGGCCCACCAAGGCGACGAUCCGUAGCUGGUCUGAGAGGAUGAUCAGCCACACUGGAACUGAGACACGGUCCAGACUACUACGGGAGGCAGCAGUGGGGAAUAUUGGACAAUGGGCGCAAGCCUGAUCCAGCCAUACCGCGUGGGUGAAGAAGGCCUUCGGGUUGUAAAGCCCUUUUGUUGGGAAAGAAAAGCAGCAGGUUAAUACCCCGCUGUUCUGACGGUACCCAAAGAAUAAGCACCGGCUAACUACGUG
Molecule: ribosomal RNA, 492 nt
Filed under: uncultured bacterium
Lineage: Bacteria
Description: partial 16S ribosomal RNA
Rfam family: Bacterial small subunit ribosomal RNA
Source: RNAcentral